Molecule: ribosomal RNA, 467 nt
Filed under: uncultured bacterium
Lineage: Bacteria
Description: partial 16S ribosomal RNA
Rfam family: Bacterial small subunit ribosomal RNA
Source: RNAcentral
GAUGAACGCUGGCGGCGUGCUUAACACAUGCAAGUCGAACGGAAAGGCUCCUGCUUGCAGGGGUACUCGAGUGGCGAACGGGUGAGUAACACGUGGGUGAUCUGCCCUGCACUUCGGGAUAAGCCUGGGAAACUGGGUCUAAUACCGGAUAGGACCACAUUUUGGAUGGUGUGGUGGAAAGUUUUUCGGUGUGGGAUGAGCUCGCGGCCUAUCAGCUUGUUGGUGGGGUAAUGGCCUACCAAGGCGUCGACGGGUAGCCGGCCUGAGAGGGUGUACGGCCACAUUGGGGCUGAGAUACGGCCCAGACUCCUACGGGAGGCAGCAGUGGGGAAUAUUGCACAAUGGGCGCAAGCCUGAUGCAGCGACGCCGCGUGGGGGAUGACGGCCUUCGGGUUGUAAACUCCUUUCGCUAGGGACGAAGCGUUUUUGUGACGGUACCUGGAGAAGAAGCACCGGCUAACUACGUG